GACGAACGCUGGCGGCGUGCCUAAUACAUGCAAGUUGAGCGCUGAAGGUUGGUACUUGUACCAACUGGAUGAGCAGCGAACGGGUGAGUAACGCGUGGGGAAUCUGCCUUUGAGCGGGGGACAACAUUUGGAAACGAAUGCUAAUACCGCAUAAAAACUUUAAACACAAGUUUUAAGUUUGAAAGAUGCAAUUGCAUCGCUCAAAGAUGAUCCCGCGUUGUAUUAGCUAGUUGGUGAGGUAAAGGCUCACCAAGGCGAUGAUACAUAGCCGACCUGAGAGGGUGAUCGGCCACAUUGGGACUGAGACACGGCCCAAACGCCUACGGGAGGCAGCAGUAGGGAAUCUUCGGCAAUGGACGAAAGUCUGACCGAGCAACGCCGCGUGAGUGAAGAAGGUUUUCGGAUCGUAAAACUCUGUUGGUAGAGAAGAACGUUGGUGAGAGUGGAAAGCUCAUCAAGUGACGGUAACUACCCAGAAAGGGACGGCUAACUACGUG
RNAcentral lists this ribosomal RNA (497 nucleotides) under uncultured bacterium. RNAcentral's name for it is "partial 16S ribosomal RNA". It matches the Rfam family "Bacterial small subunit ribosomal RNA", at positions 28 to 507 of the family's 1533-position model. The record is from RNAcentral.